ACCAAUGAGCAGCACCCCCUUCACAGGCAGCAGGUUAUAGGCCAGGCCAACGGUUCUGGGCUAUUCGAGCUAACCCAGGUUGUCCUGGUACCGAAGCCUGCUGCUUUCCCGGCGGGGCCUGUGCGGUGUGGACAGAUACCAUGUCUGGAGGAAGGGAGAGUGUGGCUUAACCACAGGCCAGUUCAUUGAAGAUAAGGGAAAGGGUUGGGUCAGAGGAGAGAAGCACUUCCAGGACCCAGAGCUGGGAGCGGGCUCAAAAGGAGCAAGAGAAGGGAUGCCCUCUAAGCCGAGGGGCGCUUGCAGGGUUGAACACGG
Molecule: long non-coding RNA, 315 nt
Organism: Tupaia belangeri chinensis (Chinese tree shrew)
Lineage: Eukaryota; Metazoa; Chordata; Mammalia; Scandentia; Tupaiidae
Exons: 3
Source: RefSeq, a predicted model, not a curated record